CACGUAGGGGGCGAGCGUUGUCCGGAUUUAUUGGGCGUAAAGAGCUCGUAGGCGGUUCGGCAAGUCGGGCGUGAAAUUCGAGGCUCAACCUCGAAACGCCACUCGAUACUGCUGUGACUGGAGUCCGGUAGAGGAGUGCGGAAUUCCUGGUGUAGCGGUGAAAUGCGCAGAUAUCAGGAGGAACACCAACGGCGAAGGCAGCACUCUGGGCCGGUACUGACGCUGAGGAGCGAAAGCGUGGGGAGCAAACAGG
RNAcentral lists this ribosomal RNA (253 nucleotides) under uncultured bacterium. RNAcentral describes it as "partial 16S ribosomal RNA". It matches the Rfam family "Bacterial small subunit ribosomal RNA", at positions 524 to 776 of the family's 1533-position model. The record is from RNAcentral.